Molecule: non-coding RNA, 85 nt
Organism: Mycena alexandri
Lineage: Eukaryota; Fungi; Basidiomycota; Agaricomycetes; Agaricales; Mycenaceae
Source: the annotation of a GenBank genome assembly
UCCCUCUUAGCUCAGUUGGUAGAGCGCGUCACUAGUAUAUCAUUGCGGAAUGACGAGGUCAGUCGUUCAAAUCGGCUAGCGGGAA